This 1362-nucleotide ribosomal RNA is filed under the name uncultured bacterium. RNAcentral describes it as "16S ribosomal RNA". It matches the Rfam family "Bacterial small subunit ribosomal RNA", at positions 28 to 1381 of the family's 1533-position model. The record is from RNAcentral.
GAUGAACGCUAGCGACAGGCUUAACACAUGCAAGUCGAGGGGCAGCAGGGGAGUAGCAAUACUCCCGCUGGCGACCGGCGCACGGGUGAGUAACACGUAUGCAACCUGUCCUUGUCAGGGGGAUAAGCGGAAGAAAUUCCGUCUAAUACCGCAUAAUGCUGCGGGGAGACAUCUCCCUGCAGCCAAAGAUUUAUCGGACAAGGAUGGGCAUGCGGCGCAUUAGCUUGUUGGCGGGGUAACGGCCCACCAAGGCGACGAUGCGUAGGGGUUCUGAGAGGAAGGUCCCCCACACUGGUACUGAGACACGGACCAGACUCCUACGGGAGGCAGCAGUGAGGAAUAUUGGUCAAUGGCCGGGAGGCUGAACCAGCCAAGUCGCGUGAGGGAAGACGGUCCUAUGGAUUGUAAACCUCUUUUGUCAGGGAGCAAAAACUGCCACGUGUGGCAGGAUGAGAGUACCUGAAGAAAAAGCAUCGGCUAACUCCGUGCCAGCAGCCGCGGUAAUACGGAGGAUGCGAGCGUUAUCCGGAUUUAUUGGGUUUAAAGGGUGCGUAGGCGGACAGUUAAGUCAGCGGUAAAAUUGAGAGGCUCAACCUCUUCCCGCCGUUGAAACUGAUUGUCUUGAGUGGGCGAGAAGUAUGCGGAAUGCGUGGUGUAGCGGUGAAAUGCAUAGAUAUCACGCAGAACUCCGAUUGCGAAGGCAGCAUACCGGCGCCCAACUGACGCUGAAGCACGAAAGCGUGGGUAUCGAACAGGAUUAGAUACCCUGGUAGUCCACGCAGUAAACGAUGAAUACCAAUUGUUCGGGUCAAAUGAGAUCUGAGUGAUACAGCGAAAGCGUUAAGUAUUCCACCUGGGGAGUACGCCGGCAACGGUGAAACUCAAAGGAAUUGACGGGGGCCCGCACAAGCGGAGGAACAUGUGGUUUAAUUCGAUGAUACGCGAGGAACCUUACCCGGGCUCAAACGACACAGGAAUGAUCUGAGAAAUCAGGCAGUCCUCCGGGACCUGUGUCGAGGUGCUGCAUGGUUGUCGUCAGCUCGUGCCGUGAGGUGUCGGCUUAAGUGCCAUAACGAGCGCAACCCCCAUCGACAGUUGCCAGCAGGUCAAGCUGGGCACUCUGUCGAGACUGCCGGCGCAAGCUGUGAGGAAGGCGGGGAUGACGUCAAAUCAGCACGGCCCUUACGUCCGGGGCGACACACGUGUUACAAUGGCAGGUACAGCGGGAAGCCACCUGGCGACAGGGAGCGGAACCCGAAAGCCUGUCUCAGUUCGGAUUGGAGUCUGCAACUCGACUCCAUGAAGCUGGAUUCGCUAGUAAUCGCGCAUCAGCCACGGCGCGGUGAAUACGUUCCCGGGCCU